CUCGAGACCUCCCACAUUGAACAGCUGAUGACCAUGUUUCAUCAGCAAUAGGUAUUUAAAUGCUACAAGCUCUUGAUGAUGGCGUUUUGAACAUGCAAAAACGCAUGUUGAGCGGUUUCUAUUAUCACUGCACUUGGUAGCACUUUUUUAUUUUUAUUACCACUAUGGUUAUUGAUUUUUAUGCGUUUCUUUAUUUAUAACUUUAGUAGGGAGAGUCGGUUCAGGUAGACACUAGUAGUCAGACCACAGUGUUAAGGUAACUCUUGAAAUGAAUUGAGAGAUUUUUUUUUCUCUUUGAGGCUUUUUAUCUGCAUUUAGACUAGAGUAUCUGGUCCCUUGUUCUCUGUGGACCCUGUGCCUUUUCUCUCUCCCUAACCUCGUUUACACUACCUUCCCGUCAGUCGGACACUAGGGGAAUUGGAACCUAGAUGCAAUUUAGUACACCAAAUAAUGGAUCCCCUGGGCACUGUUUAGUAGAUCUCCCUUCUUUCAAGAUAUACUUUUUGUUUGCAUAUCCUUUUUAUCCUUAGAUUGAAAGCGGUGUGAGGUAGUUCUGAUAUGGAGGUCUAUGACAGCGGUGUGAGGUAGUUCUGAUAUGGAGGUCUAUGACAGCGGUGUGAGGUAGCUCUGAUAUGGAGGUCUAUGACAGCGGUGUGAGGUAGCUCUGAUAUGGAGGACUAUGACAGCGGUGUGAGGUAGUUCUGAUAUGGAGGACUAUGACAGGGUGUGAGGUAGUUCUGAUACUAAGGACUGUGACAGGGUGUGAGGUAGCUCUGAUAUUGAGGACUGUGACAGGGUGUGAGGUAGCUCUGAUACGAAGGACUGUGACAGGGUGUGAGGUAGCUCUGAUAUGGAGGUCUAUGACAGCGGUGUGAGGUAGUUCUGAUAUGGAGGACUGUGACAGGGUGUGAGGUAGUUCUGAUAUGGAGGACUGUGACAGGGUGUGAGGUAGCUCUGAUAUGGAGGACUAUGACAGGGUGUGAGGUAGCUCUGAUAUGGAGGACUGUGACAGGGUGUGAGGUAGCUCUGAUAUGGAGGACUAUGACAGGGUGUGAGGUAGUUCUGAUACGAAGGACUGUGACAGGGUGUGAGGUAGCUCUGAUAUGAGGUUGCCAUUUCCGG
Non-coding RNA from Pelobates cultripes (western spadefoot toad), 1122 nucleotides. The record is from the annotation of a GenBank genome assembly. NCBI's taxonomy places the organism in Eukaryota, Metazoa, Chordata, Amphibia, Anura, Pelobatidae.